CUGAUGCCCAGACAGAAGGUGACUGACUGUUGGUCUUAUAGCAAUGCUUGGGGUGAACUAAAUAGAAAAGAGGAUUUAAGAACCACAAAUGUCCCCAGGGAAACCAGGGCUAUGUGCCCUGUGUGAAUGCUUUACUGACACCAGCUCAUUUAAUCUUCUUAUCAACCUUAAGGGCGAAAACACCCUCACUGAUAACCUUGCCACGAGUAGUAGACAGAUGCAGCACUGCAAUCCCACUGUGGAGAGAUCUGGAGGACGGUGAUGGAGGAAAAUCUUCUCAGUGGGCAGAACUU
Molecule: long non-coding RNA, 293 nt
Organism: Balaenoptera ricei (Rice's whale)
Lineage: Eukaryota; Metazoa; Chordata; Mammalia; Artiodactyla; Balaenopteridae
Exons: 3
Source: RefSeq, a predicted model, not a curated record